GGAGCUUCUUAGGAAGUGACGGCGUGCCUUUUGCAUAAUGAACCUACGAGUUACCGUCGUCGGCAAGGUUAAGUGCUAUGAAGCACGUAAGCCGAAGCGAAAGCGAGUCUGAAUAGGGCGCAUAGUCGGCGGUGGUAGACGCGAAACCAAGUGAUCUACCCUUGUCCAGGUUGAAGUCCCGGUAACACGGGAUGGAGGACCGAACCAAUAAGCGUUGAAAAGCUUCUGGAUGAGGUGAGGGUAGGAGUGAAAGGCCAAUCAAACUUGGAGAUAGCUCGUACUCCCCGAAAUGCAUUUAGGUGCAGCCUCGGGCGUUCCCUGUGUGAGGUAGAGCGACUGAUUGGAUGCGAGGGCUUCACCGCCUAUCAAGUCCAGACAAACUCCGAAUGCACACAGGCUAAGCCCGGGAGUGAGGGCGUGGGUGCUAAGGUCCACGCCCGAGAGGAGAAGAAUCCUGACCACCGGCUAAGGCCCCGAAAUAUAGGCUAAGUUAAACUAACGAAGUGUGGUCCCCGUGACAGCUAGGAUGUUGGCUUGGAAGCAGCCAUUCAUUCAAAGAGUGCGUAACAGCUCACUAGUCGAGGGUCCGGGCAUGGAUAAUAAUCGGGUAUAAGUCAGAUACCGAAGGCGCGGGAUAGUAAUGUAUAUUAAAAGUAUCGGUAGGGGAGCAUUCCAUCGGCGUUGAAUGGUGAGGGUAACCGAUCCUGGAGCUUAUGGAAAAGCAAAUGUAGGUAUAAGUAACGAUAAAAAGGGUGAGAUUCCCUUUCGCCGAAAGACCGAGGUUUCCCGGGCGAUGCCAAUCAGCCCGGGGUUAGUCGGGUCCUAAGUCUCAGCCGAACGGCGAAGGCGAUGGCAGAUGCGGUUAAUAUUCCGCAACUCGCAUAUACAGUGAUGUGGAGACGGAGCAGUGACACUGCCGCGCCCUGACGGAAUAGGGCGUUUAAGUGCGUAGGCUAUGAGGAAGGCAGGCAAAUCCACCUUCCGAGCUGAACCAUGAAAGUACAGGUAAUCCUUCGGGAUAACUUGAGUGCAGGUAAUCAUACUUCCGAGAAAAUCCGCUAAACUUAAUGUAUAUGCGACCCGUACCGCAAACGGACACACGUGGUCGGGUAGAAUAUACUAAGGCGUUGAGAGAUUCAUGGUUAAGGAACUAGGCAAAUUGACCCCGUAACUUCGGGAUAAGGGGUCCUCAUAGCAAUAUGAGGCGCAGAGAAUAGGUCCAGGCAACUGUUUAACAAAAACACAGGGCUGUGCAAACUCGAAAGAUGACGUAUACAGCCUGACACCUGCCCGGUGCUGGAAGGUUAAGAGGAGAUGUCACUAGUAAUAGGAAGCAUUGAAUUGAAGCCCCAGUAAACGGCGGCCGUAACUAUAACGGUCCUAAGGUAGCGAAAUUCCUUGUCGGGUAAGUUCCGACCUGCACGAAUGGUGUAAUGAUCCGGACGCUGUCUCAACCAUGAUCUCAGUGAAAUUGUAGUAUCGGUGAAGAUGCCGAUUACCCGCGAUGGGACGAAAAGACCCCGUGAACCUUUACUAUAGCUUAACGUUGUAAUUGGGCAGUCGAUGUGUAGGAUAGGUCGGAGGCUUUGAAGCAGGCACGCCAGUGUUUGUGGAGCCGCUGUUGAAAUACGACCCUUUGGCUGUCUGGUUCCUAACUCUCUUAUGAGAGGACCGCGUUUGGUGGGUAGUUUGACUGGGGUGGUCG
RNAcentral lists this ribosomal RNA (1705 nucleotides) under human metagenome. RNAcentral describes it as "bacterial LSU rRNA". It matches the Rfam family "Bacterial large subunit ribosomal RNA", at positions 576 to 2285 of the family's 2925-position model. The record is from RNAcentral.